GAGAUCAUGACCUGAUCAUGAGCCGAGGUCAGAGGCUCAACCAACUGAGCCACCCAGGCACCCCUGUUGUGAGUUGAUUUUUUACGGAGGCAUUUAUUUGUUGAUGUUUCUUCUGUGGAAGUGCUCUAGGCUGGGAAAGUGACAUUAAGCAGCAUUUUUGUGCUAGCUUGCUAAUGGGUCCUGGUGGUAUUACUCAUCCUGGAGUGGAGUUUAUAUGAACUGAUCGGCUUAUGUUUUAAAGUUUCUGUGAAAGCAAGCUGCUCGCUGAAGGCUUCUCCUUCACCUAAAUAGACUUAAGUCAACACUUGUUCCUGUGUGGGUGUCAGAAUUCCCAUACCUGAUUGAAAACCAUCCCUGUGCCCGCUGGAAAUACUGGGUGCGCCUCAGUGUUUAGACUUUGAUUUCAUUCUUCAUAUCUGACAAGUGAAGACUUUCCUGUGUUUUAAACUUGCUUAUAUAUUUGAAAAUACCCUUUAAAUACUUAUCUAGGAUUUUAUGUGUUUUCAGCAGGAACUAGUUUACAGAGCUGGCUGGCCACAUUGCGAGGAAUCCACUCUUCUUAAAGAUUCUGUUUUCUGAUUGAAAGCACCCUUAGACUUUGGUGUUUUGAUUUCCCUGUUUGUUUAUUUGUUUGUUUUUUGCCUCCAAUGUUUUCAAUCAAGUGCUGAGUUGUUUUCCAGAAGAGCGAAAGAUGAAUCCUCCUAUUGGAAACAUGCCAUUUUCAUGAAAUCCAAAGAAAUUCUUUUAAAAAUUCCCCUUCCAGCCACUUGCCUCCCCUACCAUCGAAAUCUCUGUACCUCAAUUUAGAUCUCUUUUCCCAGCUAAAUACUUCAUAUGAUUUAGGUUUACUCAUGAACUCUACCUUUUUCUUCUUGUGGAACCAUUCCCCUGAAUUAUCAGAAUCACUAACCCCUUCUUUCCCUUGCAUUGCACAUGGUUUCUUCUUCUUCCCUUAUCAAAUAAUUAGUGCGAAGCUAUCAUACUAAUCCACAUAUUUGUUCCAUCAUGCACUUGGAGAUUUGUGGAGAACAGAGCAUUUUUAUUUGAGUGCUUCUUGCAUAUCUGGUUCCAUUUUAGUGGCGUGUGGAGUAUGUAACAGACUCUCAGCCAUAUACUGCAGCUGUGUAAUAUGCCUCCACCCACAAGGAUCUUACCACCUGGUUGACGAGGAUAGACUUUUGUUUAUUUGUUUGUUUAUUUAUUUUGAGAGAGAGAGAGCGUGCGCGUGUGAGCAUGAGUGGAGGAGAAUCGGAAAGAGAGUGGGACAGAGGAUCUGAAGAGGGCUCUGUGCUGACAGCAGAGAACCCAGUGCGGGUUUGAACUCAUGAACUGUGAUCAUGACCUGAGCCAAAGUCGAAUGCUUAACCGACUGAACCACCGAGGUGCCCCAAGGAUAGACUCUUACAGCAAAGAAUUUUACAACAGUAUGAGACAACACAUGUUAUCAAUGGCUACAACAUUGAUGAGUAAGAACACAGAGAAGGGGGUGGCCCUGCAGGGGAGAAGAGGUUGAGGAAGGCUCUCCAGAAGCCGAGUUAGACUUGAAGACAUGGAAGGAUUUGGGCGAGGCUUGUUCUCACAGGGAGAACGCCUCAUCAAAUCCAGCGUGUCUAUGGAAGGCUCUGUAGAGGGACCCAAACGUUCCCCACUUCAGCCACAGAAAGUAAACAAUACCCAAAGAAGUCACUUCUGCAAGCAAAAUAACUCAGUGAUGCUUGAGUAAGUCCAUGAGGAGUACUUUUACAGAUGGUUUAACUGGCAGCUGCAUUUUGUCUGGUAAAACAGAAACCGAUAGGCAAUCAUUCUGUUUACUGAUAGUAACUCAGAAAUGUCUCUAACCACAACAGUUUCAUUUCGUCUCACACAUUCUGAGACAUGCUAACGUGGAUUAUUUCUUUACAAAGAACUUUAGAAUGUACACUUAUAAAUCCUUUCCCUCGCGGGGUAAAAUCUAGCACCUGUUUGGGCAACAAAAUGUGAGACACAGGCAGGUUGCUGAAAGGGAAGAAAGGGCAGUGCAUGUCAGAAUGUUCCAGCUUCCCAGACCUCCCUUCCUCUGAGCUCCUCUUCCAAGGAUGAUUUCUCUUUUACGAGUCCUUGGAAAUUAAUUUUUCUCUCAAAUAAACAUAGUUCCCUUUGUAUUCUUUACACAGUCUUCGUAUUGGUGGGCAAAGAGUUGCAUUUACCAGAGACCAGCGUGCUUCCCCACAAAGGGUUAUUCUCAGGAUUUUCCUGUCCGUUUUUCUUCCCACCAUUCACAUCUCUGUGUUUCAUAGUGAAGCCAAUGCCAGUUCCACAUUCUUCCCUGGAUUCUGUAGGGGUCUCGUCAUUCAAGGGCAAGAACAAAUUGCUGGCAAGCUCUUCCGCACAUGUUUAUAAUCACUGACAUUUGCAUCGCUGCGACUAAAAGAUGCAUUCUUGCUACACACGUAUAUGGAGGAUGGUUGGAAACAAUCUGUUUGGAGUUAGGCUUCCUCCCUUUGAUAUGUGUUUCCAAUUGCUAACCAAAUGCUGCCUUAGUUUUGUUCGUAGGAAGCUGAACUGACACCAACAAAAAACAGCCCAUUGUUUGGACUGUCUACGACACUUGACUUUCCCGGAGGUUGGCCUCACCAACUUCCAGGGAUCCAGGAAGAAGUCACCUGUGGGAUUUAGGAAAACCCAGCCAGAUGCUGCUGCCAUGCUUUUCCUGUGUGCCUGCAGAGUCUUGUGUUUCCUCUGUUCAACCCAGUUCGGACUCAAGUGUUCAGUCAUCAGGAGGUCUGGAUGGCAAGUUCACUGGAAGGAUGCUUUGGUGUGUUCCACGUGCUUGGAAUAGACUUGUAAAUAACUGAUGCUCAUUAAAUAUUUUGUGUCAUUGAGGCCACUGAGGUUCCUGGCAUGCUUGUUACUAAAGCCCGCUUGUUGCUUACCACACCUCUGCUGCCACAUCCGCCAAGUCCCAGGCUCAGAUCUGCAGGUUGGACUAUAAGCAGCCUGUUGGGUUGGGGCUGCCAUGUGUCUCCAUGUGACUUUGACCCAGGAGAGCAGGCAGCAGGCGGUGGUCAGAGCAUCAGCAUUGAAAGCUCAGAGGAGUGAGUGAUUACUGGAGCGAACUCAGAUCCUUGCCGGGCAUGGGGUGUUCUUGCCAACCCUGAGCCCUGCCCUCUGCCUGCUCUUCUUUUUCCUAACUGGCUUUCUUGCACACGGUCCUUGGUUCCUGUCUCAGGUGUCUUUCAGCCUCCUCUUGACUCUGUGAUUCAGGCCCUGAAGCUUCCUUAUUAGCCUUUUCUAGUUGCUGCCUGAUUCUAAAAAUUAAACAUCUUGUUACCUUAUUAUUAUUGUUUUUAAAUGCAGCCUGGCCCAUUUGGAAGAAAAAAGCUAAGAAAUCUAACUUACACUCUUGCUUCUUGUAUUGUAUGGGUACCAUUAGGAAAAUCAUGUUACCGUGGACUUUUUCUGGUCCUGGAAUUCAUAUUUAAAAAAUGACUUGGCUGGUGUUAAAUGGUUAAUGAGCAUGUACAACAUGCUGGAUACAGUAUGAGGCAUUUUCAUGAAGGGUUUCCUAUCCUAAACAUCUGGAACAUCUGCAGCAGGAUGAGAACCCGAAUUCAGGGCAGGCUGAACCCUAAGAACCAUGCCGUACAUGGUCUAUUAUAACUUUAGGACACUCUGAGGCCAGCAUGGCUAGAAGUUAAUUUUUAGUUAAAUCUUUAUUAUAUAGAUGACAAUAUUGAGAUACAGAAAAGUAAGAUGACUUGCUCAAGGUUAUAUGGAUGUUUAGUGGGAGAUUAGGGAUGGGAACUCUGUAUUCCAGCUUCUAGCUCAGUAUUUUUUCCACUAUGCAUCUUCCCUAUGGUUCGGAAUCAUCUUGGAGUAGUACAGCCCUAUCAAUGGAUGUAUUAUGUAAUACAUCCCUUUACUCAGGUGCCACAUAAUCUAUGCUUGCUUUAAAAUGUUUUAAUGUACAUGUGUUCAAUCAUAUGCAAAAGUAGAGAACAGAAAAAUAAACCUUUGUAUGCAGAA
Molecule: long non-coding RNA, 4005 nt
Organism: Felis catus (domestic cat)
Lineage: Eukaryota; Metazoa; Chordata; Mammalia; Carnivora; Felidae
Exons: 2
Source: RefSeq, a predicted model, not a curated record